CGCCUUGCCAGCCCGCUCAGAAACUUAAGGAAUUGACGGGGCCCGCACAAGCGGUGGAGCAUGUGGUUAAUUCGAUGAUACGCGAGGAACCUUACCUGGGCUCAAAUGUAUGUUGACGUAUUCUGAAAGGGAUACUUCUUCGGACAAUAUACAAGGUGCUGCAUGGUUGUCGUCAGCUCGUGCCGUGAGGUGUCGGGUUAAGUCCCAUAACGAGCGCAACCCCUAUCAUUAGUUGCCAUCAGGUCAAGCUGGGGACUCUAAUGAAACUGCCUACGCAAGUAGUGAGGAAGGUGGGGAUGACGUCAAGUCAUCAUGGCCCUUACGGCCUGGGCUACACACGUGCUACAAUGGUCGGUACAAAGGGUUGCCAAGCCGCGAGGUGGAGCUAAUCCCAUAAAACCGAUCGUAGUCCGGAUCGCAGUCUGCAACUCGACUGCGUGAAGUCGGAAUCGCUAGUAAUCGUGAAUCAGAAUGUCACGGUGAAUACGUUCCCGGGCCUU
This 500-nucleotide ribosomal RNA is filed under the name uncultured Sphingobacteriales bacterium. RNAcentral's name for it is "bacterial SSU rRNA". It matches the Rfam family "Bacterial small subunit ribosomal RNA", at positions 904 to 1382 of the family's 1533-position model. The record is from RNAcentral. Lineage: Bacteria; Pseudomonadati; Bacteroidota; Sphingobacteriia; Sphingobacteriales.